RNAcentral lists this ribosomal RNA (468 nucleotides) under uncultured bacterium. RNAcentral describes it as "partial 16S ribosomal RNA". It matches the Rfam family "Bacterial small subunit ribosomal RNA", at positions 28 to 507 of the family's 1533-position model. The record is from RNAcentral.
GACGAACGCUGGCGGCGUGCUUAACACAUGCAAGUCGAACGGAAAGGCCCUGCUUUUGUGGGGUGCUCGAGUGGCGAACGGGUGAGUAACACGUGAGUAACCUGCCCUUGACUUUGGGAUAACUUCAGGAAACUGGGGCUAAUACCGGAUAGGAGCUCCUGCUGCAUGGUGGGGGUUGGAAAGUUUCGGCGGUUGGGGAUGGACUCGCGGCUUAUCAGCUUGUUGGUGGGGUAGUGGCUUACCAAGGCUUUGACGGGUAGCCGGCCUGAGAGGGUGACCGGCCACAUUGGGACUGAGGUACGGCGCAGACUCGUACGGGAGGCAGAAGUGGGGAAUAUUGCACAGUGGGCGGAAGCCUGAUGCAGCAACGCCGCGUGCGGGAUGACGGCCUUCGGGUUGUAAACCGCUUUCGCCUGUGACGAAGCGUGAGUGACGGUAAUGGGUAAAGAAGCACCGGCUAACUACGUG